CUGCUUGUUUCUGCAGCACAUGCACUAAAACUGGAGCGGUCCAGGGAAGAUGGGCAGGGCCCCUGUGCAAGGAUGGCCUGCAGAUUCCUGAGGUGUUCCGAAUAAGU
This is a small nuclear RNA of Callithrix jacchus (white-tufted-ear marmoset), 107 nucleotides long. The record is from Ensembl. NCBI's taxonomy places the organism in Eukaryota, Metazoa, Chordata, Mammalia, Primates, Cebidae.